GAUGAACGCUGGCGGCGUGCCUAAUACAUGCAAGUCGAGCGAACGGACGAGAAGCUUGCUUCUCUGAUGUUAGCGGCGGACGGGUGAGUAACACGUGGAUAACCUACCUAUAAGACUGGGAUAACUUCGGGAAACCGGAGCUAAUACCGGAUAAUAUUUUGAACCGCAUGGUUCAAAAGUGAAAGACGGUCUUGCUGUCACUUAUAGAUGGAUCCGCGCUGCAUUAGCUAGUUGGUAAGGUAACGGCUUACCAAGGCAACGAUGCAUAGCCGACCUGAGAGGGUGACCGGCCACACUGGAACUGAGACACGGUCCAGACUCCUACGGGAGGCAGCAGUAGGGAAUCUUCCGCAAUGGGCGAAAGCCUGACGGAGCAACGCCGCGUGAGUGAUGAAGGUCUUCGGAUCGUAAAACUCUGUUAUUAGGGAAGAACAUAUGUGUAAGUAACUGUGCACAUCUUGACGGUACCUAAUCAGAAAGCCCCGGCUAACUACGUG
Molecule: ribosomal RNA, 497 nt
Filed under: uncultured bacterium
Lineage: Bacteria
Description: partial 16S ribosomal RNA
Rfam family: Bacterial small subunit ribosomal RNA
Source: RNAcentral